UAUAGUGGAGAGUUACUUUGCUCUGAAGGGAAAAGUAGCAGAAUAAAUUUUUUUAUUAUUUUUGUAAAGUAAAUAUGGACAAGACUUUUCAGUAUGGCUUUUGCUCAGUUGAAGAUGUUUUAUCUUCCGAAGAUGUGUGUUUCAAAGCUCUGAUACCUGGAAGCUAAUGGGAGGUGACUUCACGUGUGAACUGAACUGCCCUCUGUCACACGGCAAGAAGGGCAUUAACUGGAAAUAUCAGCAAGGAAGUGCACAACAGGUUCUCCCCGGUUUUCCAGUCAGAGCUAUGUAUGCAGGGGUUUAUUCCAUGCCACUGAAGUCAAAGGUAGAACCUUUUAAAUGCUCUAGGACAUACAGGACAUAAUGCAAUGACAUGGCAGCUGAACCUUGAGAACAAACCCCAUGAACUUCAACACCUUGAACUGAUGAAUCCAACUCCACUGGCUCUGCUAAUCCAUCUUACAACCAACCUGGUGUGCUCUGACUGCGUGGGACCCAAGGCUUAGCUGCUAGCAGUGAUACAGUUUGGGAAUUUCUAAACAGAUUCUUAUUUCCUUCUGAUUAGGCAAAUAAAAACAUCCUGCAGUGAAUUCCAGCUGCAUCUGUUCAUGAGUUUUGUUCACUGAAUGCUCCCCAGAAAGUCCACACAAUGCUUAUGAUUGUGUGCAAUUUGUAUCUUGCUGCUGGAAAACAGUAGAUGCUGCCAGAGGUUUAUUCACAAAAGGUUUGGGAGCGUGUGGUGAGG
Grus americana (Whooping crane) is the source of this 745-nucleotide long non-coding RNA. RefSeq lists it as uncharacterized. NCBI's taxonomy places the organism in Eukaryota, Metazoa, Chordata, Aves, Gruiformes, Gruidae. The transcript has 3 exons. The record is from RefSeq and is a predicted model, not a curated record.